Molecule: ribosomal RNA, 333 nt
Filed under: Triticum aestivum (bread wheat)
Lineage: Eukaryota; Viridiplantae; Streptophyta; Magnoliopsida; Poales; Poaceae
Description: partial small subunit ribosomal RNA
Source: RNAcentral
AUGAAACCUUCGGGAGUGAUCUUUUUGGAACAAAUGCAAUCCAGGAGACUUGGAGUGGACGUCAAGAAGCAGCCGAGGCGGCCACGAGGCAGGAGGGCGCGCCCCCACCCUCGUGGGCCCCUCGUGGCUCCUUUGACCGACCUCCUUCGCCUAUAUAUAUCUACGUACCCCGAAAACAUCCAGGAGCACCACGAAACCCUAUUUCCACCGCCGCAACCUUCUGUACCCGUGAGAUCCCAUCUUGGACCCUUUUCUGGCGCUCCGCCGGAGGGGGAAUCAAUCAUGGAGGGCUUCUACAUCAACACCAUAGCCUCUCCGAUGAGUUGUGAGUAG